GACGAACGCUGGCGGCGUGCCUAAUACAUGCAAGUUGAGCGCUGAAGGUUGGUACUUGUACCAACUGGAUGAGCAGCGAACGGGUGAGUAACGCGUGGGGAAUCUGCCUUUGAGCGGGGGACAACAUUUGGAAACGAAUGCUAAUACCGCAUAAAAACUUUAAACACAAUUUUUAAGUUUGAAAGAUGCAAUUGCAUCACUCAAAGAUGAUCCCGCGUUGUAUUAGCUAGUUGGUGAGGUAAAGGCUCACCAAGGCGAUGAUACAUAGCCGACCUGAGAGGGCGAUCGGCCACAUUGAGACUGAGACACGGCUCAAAAGCCUACGGGAGGCAGCAGUAGGGAAUCUUUGGCAAUGGACGAAAGUCUGACCGAGCAACGCCGCGGGAGUGAAGAAGGUUUUCGGAUCGCAAAACUCUGUUGGUAGAGAAGAGCGUUGGUGAGGGUGGAAAGCUCAUAAAGUGACGGUAACUACCCAGAAAGGGACGGCUAACUACGUG
RNAcentral lists this ribosomal RNA (497 nucleotides) under uncultured bacterium. Its description in RNAcentral is "partial 16S ribosomal RNA". It matches the Rfam family "Bacterial small subunit ribosomal RNA", at positions 28 to 507 of the family's 1533-position model. The record is from RNAcentral.